Molecule: ribosomal RNA, 465 nt
Filed under: uncultured bacterium
Lineage: Bacteria
Description: partial 16S ribosomal RNA
Rfam family: Bacterial small subunit ribosomal RNA
Source: RNAcentral
GACGAACGCUGGCGGCGUGCUUAACACAUGCAAGUCGUACGGUAAGGCCCUUUCGGGGGUACACGAGUGGCGAACGGGUGCGUAACACGUGAGUAACCUGCCCACAACUUUGGGAUAACGCUAGGAAACUGGUGCUAAUACUGGAUAUGUGCUCCUGCUGCAUGGUGGGGGUUGGAAAGCUCCGGCGGUUGUGGAUGGACUCGCGGCCUAUCAGCUUGUUGGUGGGGUAGUGGCCUACCAAGGCGGCGACGGGUAGCCGGCCUGAGAGGGUGACCGGCCACAUUGGGACUGAGAUACGGCCCAGACUCCGACGGGAGGCAGCAGUGGGGAAGAUUGCACAAUGGGCGCAAGCCGGAUGCAGCAACGCCGCGUGCGGGAGGACGGCCUUCGGGUUGGAUACCGCUUUCAGCAGGGACGAAGCUUUUUGUGACGGUACCUGCAGAAGAAGCACCGGCUAACUACGUG